CCAUCCCCGCACGGAACGGCUCCUUCGAAAGCUCGAGUUUUUAACCCCUUUUCCGCUUUAUUAUCUCCGAAAGCCCGCGCUAAAUACUUCUUCACGAUUCUCCCCAAUCCCCAUCCGGCCAUCUCACCCCCCUCUACGGCGCGGGCACUGUUCGUCCGUCGGUGGAGGAAGAAGGGGAGUGCGAGCCGAACUGUAAAAGCCGCCGGGUGGGGGAACCCGCACUCCGCCGCCUCUGAAAAAUCGCAGAAACCCACAGCCUGAAAAACCCCCGGCCAAAGCCUCAGAUUUCGCAGCCGCCGCCGAAGCUGGCGUUCGCGUAGGAGGCUGCGCCCUCUGUCCUGGAUCCACCCGGGUAAGCCAUGGCUGUGAAGGCGAGCUCCGUCGACAAUAGGACCAGGAGCACGGUGUCCCUAUGCAUAGUCAUUGGCAUAUGCUGCUUCUUCUACAUCCUCGGAGCAUGGCAGAAGAGCGGGUUUGGCAAGGGGGACAGCAUCGCGCUGGAGAUCACAAAGCGCACGGACUGCACCGUCUUGCCGAACCUCAGCUUCGACACACACCAUUCUAAAUCUGGCAGCAGCUCCAGUGAUCUUGUUUCGCCGGUGAAGAAGUUCAAGCCAUGCCCUGAUCGAUACACGGAUUAUACCCCUUGUCAAGAUCAGAACAGGGCGAUGAAGUUCCCUCGGGAGAACAUGAACUACAGGGAGAGGCACUGCCCGCCACAGAAGGAAAAGCUGCACUGUUUGAUACCACCGCCCAAGGGAUAUGUGGCUCCGUUCCCAUGGCCGAAGAGUCGGGACUAUGUUCCUUUCGCAAAUUGCCCAUAUAAGAGCUUGACAGUCGAGAAAGCCAUCCAGAACUGGGUUCAAUAUGAGGGCAAUGUGUUCAGAUUCCCUGGUGGAGGGACACAAUUUCCUCAAGGAGCAGAUAAGUACAUUGAUCAGCUGGCAUCAGUCAUUCCAAUCGCCAAUGGAACUGUCAGGACUGCACUUGACACUGGUUGCGGGGUAGCCAGUUGGGGAGCAUAUUUGUUGAAGAGGAAUGUCUUGGCCAUGUCAUUUGCACCAAGAGAUUCGCAUGAGGCACAAGUGCAGUUUGCCCUGGAGAGAGGUGUCCCUGCUGUUAUUGGUGUUCUUGGUACAAUAAAACUUCCUUAUCCAUCGAGGGCCUUUGACAUGGCACAUUGUUCCAGGUGUUUGAUUCCAUGGGGAGCAAAUGAUGGAAUGUACAUGAUGGAAGUUGAUAGGGUUCUAAGGCCUGGUGGCUACUGGGUUCUGUCUGGUCCUCCAAUUAAUUGGAACGUGAAUUAUAAGGGUUGGCAGCGCACAAAGAAGGAUCUUGAAGCAGAGCAGAACAGAAUAGAGGAAAUUGCUAACCUUCUAUGUUGGGAAAAAGUCUCAGAGAAGGGUGAGAUGGCAAUAUGGAGGAAAAGGGUAAACACUGAGUCUUGUCCUUCUAGGCAAGACGAAUCCACUGUGCAGAUGUGUGAAUCAACAAACCCAGAUGAUGUCUGGUACAAGAAGAUGAAGGCCUGUGUGACACCCCUUCCAGAUGUAAAAGAUGAUACUGAAUUAGCUGGAGGAGCAAUCAAGCCCUUCCCAGGCAGGCUUCAUGCAGUUCCUCCAAGAAUUGCUAAUGGUUUUAUUCCAGGGGUUUCAUCUGAGGCCUUUCAAAAAGACAAUAAAAUGUGGAAGAAGCAUGUGAAGGAUUAUAGCACUGUGAACAAAUAUUUACUUACUGGUAGAUACAGAAAUAUAAUGGACAUGAAUGCAGGCUUUGGGGGAUUCGCUGCUGCGAUAGAGUCCCCGAAAUCUUGGGUGAUGAAUGUUGUGCCAACCAUUGCGAAGAUGCCUACCCUGGGGGCUGUGUAUGAGCGAGGAUUGAUCGGCAUAUACCAUGACUGGUGUGAGGCUUUCUCUACUUAUCCAAGGACAUAUGAUCUUAUCCAUGCUAGUGGUCUUUUCACCUUGUACAAGAACAAGUGCAGCAUGGAAGACAUUCUCUUGGAAAUGGACCGCAUCUUGAGGCCAGAAGGUGCCGUCAUAAUGCGGGACGAUGUCGAUGUUUUGAUUAAGGUGAAUAGCCUUGCUCAGGGCAUGAGGUGGAACACAAAGAUGGUCGAUCACGAGGAUGGCCCCCUCAUGCGCGAGAAGAUCCUGUAUGCUGUAAAGCAGUAUUGGGUUGGUGGAAAUCAGACGGCUGUAGCUUGAAGCAAGGACGUUUCCAAGCUUCUAACACGAGAAAAUCUGCAAUCCAACCUUACCUGACGAGCAAUUAGCAUAGGGAGUCACCCUGUGGAAGGGAAGUGGCCCACUGUAGGGGUAGGCACUGAAGCAGCAAAGCUUUUUUUGUAAUCGGUGGCAUGCAGAUCAAGGAGCACGUGUAUUUUGGAAAAGCCCAGAUCCAUGUAUGCCCUCCUGAAUGAUUCUGAAGAAACAAGGGCUGCUUAAUGUUGCAACACCCUGGGGCCAAACACGAAAGAGCAGCGGAGCCAAUCUUG
Panicum hallii is the source of this 2497-nucleotide RNA transcript. It is a transcript of the gene named probable methyltransferase PMT2, with no coding region annotated. Lineage: Eukaryota; Viridiplantae; Streptophyta; Magnoliopsida; Poales; Poaceae. The transcript is spliced from 8 exons. The record is from RefSeq and is a predicted model, not a curated record.